Molecule: transfer RNA, 72 nt
Filed under: Dendronephthya gigantea
Lineage: Eukaryota; Metazoa; Cnidaria; Anthozoa; Malacalcyonacea; Nephtheidae
Description: tRNA-Pro
Rfam family: tRNA
About the family: Transfer RNA (tRNA) molecules are approximately 80 nucleotides in length. Their secondary structure includes four short double-helical elements and three loops (D, anti-codon, and T loops). Further hydrogen bonds mediate the characteristic L-shaped molecular structure. tRNAs have two regions of fundamental functional importance: the anti-codon, which is responsible for specific mRNA codon recognition, and the 3' end, to which the tRNAs corresponding amino acid is attached (by aminoacyl-tRNA synthetases). tRNAs cope with the degeneracy of the genetic code in two manners: having more than one tRNA (with a specific anti-codon) for a particular amino acid; and 'wobble' base-pairing, i.e. permitting non-standard base-pairing at the 3rd anti-codon position.
Source: RNAcentral
GGCUUGCUGGUCUAGUGGUAUGAUUCUCGCUUAGGGUGCGAAAGGUCACGGGUUCGAUUCCCGUGCAAGCCC